GAUGGUGGAGGGUUGGGUGCAACCAGUGUUCAGCCCGUGUCUUGCCUGAAGAGAGCCAUCCUAGUCCACUCUGGUCUACUUACACACUGAAGUAUUAAAAGCAAAGGAAGCUGGACGUGGUCAACAGAGAUUUGGGCAUGGCACUUCCAGGUGUUCCAGAACAAGUGAGAAGAACCUCCCUCUGGACUGCCCAUCAUCUGAAUGUGUCAGGGAGAGACCCAGACCAAAGAGUAGCCCAAGGAAUGCCUACAACUGAACAUACGGAAGAGUUGAAUUGACUUCCCAAGGGCAGCAGGCAGUCUCAGAAGCAGCUGGCUGGCACCAGAGUGUGAUAUGGUGAAGAGUUCAGGAUGCUGUACGUGGAAAUGCAAGGCGGAGUACAAUGGGAUACGUUUCACAAAGGACUUUCGCAGUCUGAUCAUCCCAGUACAGAAACUCUCACUCACUGAAGCACCAAGAACCAAAUCCCUUUCACCUUCAAUAGAUUUGGGCUUAGAUAUGAACCUCAGGAGCAGCAUCUGCCUUUAGCAGGAGCUGAACUCUUGCAGCUCUUCAGCGUGAGCUGUGCCCGUCCUGCAAGGGAACCAGAAAGGAAGUUCAGCUUAUUCUGCAAUUCCAGCUUUGGGUUCCACUAUAGUUAUGGGCGACCAACACCCAAAGACAGCCUUUUUGUCCACAAAAUGUAUGUGAGAUUGAAAGGAAUGCCUUAAAUAUGCGUCUCUGCUCAGGCCAGGUAAUGGUAAAAAAUGCACAAUGAAUUAAAAAGCAGGAAUAUAACAUGAGCUGAGAAUUGUUGGUU
This is a long non-coding RNA of Chroicocephalus ridibundus (black-headed gull), 799 nucleotides long. RefSeq lists it as uncharacterized. The record is from RefSeq and is a predicted model, not a curated record. Lineage: Eukaryota; Metazoa; Chordata; Aves; Charadriiformes; Laridae. The transcript has 4 exons.